UAUAAAUGCUCAGUUGGUGGAGCAUGACACUCUUAAUCUCAGGGUUGUGGGUUUGAGCCCCACGCCGUGCAAAA
Molecule: non-coding RNA, 74 nt
Organism: Podarcis lilfordi (Lilford's wall lizard)
Lineage: Eukaryota; Metazoa; Chordata; Lepidosauria; Squamata; Lacertidae
Source: the annotation of a GenBank genome assembly